UGGGUUGGCCGGACGAUCGCGCGGUUCCUUCGGGAGCCUCGAGGAAGGUCCGGGCUCCACAGGGCAGGGUGGUGGGUAACACCCACCCGAGGUGACUCGCGGGACAGUGCCACAGAGAACAGACCGCCUCGCAUGAGGUAAGGGUGAAACGGUGGUGCAAGAGACCACCAGUGCGGCGGGUGACCGUCGCAGCUCGGCAAACCCCACCUGGAGCAAGACCAGACAGUGAGCGUUCGAGGGCGGCCCGCCCGAGCUCACGGGUAGGUCGCUGGAGGAGGUCGGCAACGACCUUCGUAGAUGGAUGAUCGUCGAACGGGAGGCCGCAAGGCACCCGGGAACAGAACCCGGCCUAGAGGCCAGCCCGUCCG
Molecule: RNase P RNA, 368 nt
Filed under: Myxococcales bacterium
Lineage: Bacteria; Pseudomonadati; Myxococcota; Myxococcia; Myxococcales
Description: RNase P RNA component class A
Rfam family: Bacterial RNase P class A
About the family: Ribonuclease P (RNase P) is a ubiquitous endoribonuclease, found in archaea, bacteria and eukarya as well as chloroplasts and mitochondria.
Source: RNAcentral